GUCCUUGCUGUAAACGAUGUAUACUUGCUGUAACUGGAAUCAACCCUAGUUGUGCCGUAGCUAACGUGUUAAGUAUACCGCCUGGGGAGUACAGUCGCAAGGCUGAAACUCAAAAGAAUUGACGGGGACCCGCACAAGCAGUGGAGCAUGUGGUUUAAUUCGAUGCUACGCGAAGAACCUUACCCAGACUUGACAUGCAGUGGACCGGUCCAGAAAUGGGCCUUUCUUUCGGGACCGCUGCACAGGUGCUGCAUGGCUGUCGU
This 263-nucleotide ribosomal RNA is filed under the name uncultured bacterium. Its description in RNAcentral is "partial 16S ribosomal RNA". It matches the Rfam family "Bacterial small subunit ribosomal RNA", at positions 793 to 1055 of the family's 1533-position model. The record is from RNAcentral.